GGGUUGUGAGGUUAAGCGACUAAGCGUACACGGUGGAUGCCCUGGCAGUCAGAGGCGAUGAAGGACGUGCUAAUCUGCGAAAAGCGUCGGUAAGGUGAUAUGAACCGUUAUAACCGGCGAUGUCCGAAUGGGGAAACCCAGUGCAAUUCGUUGCACUAUCGUUAACUGAAUACAUAGGUUAACGAGGCGAACCGGGGGAACUGAAACAUCUAAGUACCCCGAGGAAAAGAAAUCAACCGAGAUUCCCCCAGUAGCGGCGAGCGAACGGGGAGCAGCCCAGAGUCUGAAUCAGCUUGUGUGUUAGUGGAACGGUCUGGAAAGUCCGACGGUACAGGGUGAUAGUCCCGUACACCAAAAUGCACAGGCUGUGAACUCGAAGAGUAGGGCGGGACACGUGGUAUCCUGUCUGAAUAUGGGGGGACCAUCCUCCAAGGCUAAAUACUCCUGACUGACCGAUAGUGAACCAGUACCGUGAGGGAAAGGCGAAAAGAACCCCGGCGAGGGGAGUGAAAAAGAACCUGAAACCGUGUACGUACAAGCAGUGGGAGCACCUUCGGGUGUGACUGCGUACCUUUUGUAUAAUGGGUCAGCGACUUAUAUUCUGUAGCAAGGUUAACCGUAUAGGGGAGCCGCAGGGAAACCGAGUCUUAACUGGGCGUUAAGUUGCAGGGUAUAGACCCGAAACCCGGUGAUCUAGCCAUGGGCAGGUUGAAGGUUGGGUAACACUAACUGGAGGACCGAACCGACUAAUGUUGAAAAAUUAGCGGAUGACUUGUGGCUGGGGGUGAAAGGCCAAUCAAACCGGGAGAUAGCUGGUUCUCCCCGAAAGCUAUUUAGGUAGCGCCUCGUGAAUUCAUCUUCGGGGGUAGAGCACUGUUUCGGCUAGGGGGUCAUCCCGACUUACCAACCCGAUGCAAACUACGAAUACCGAAGAAUGUUAUCACGGGAGACACACGGCGGGUGCUAACGUCCGUCGUGAAGAGGGAAACAACCCAGACCGCCAGCUAAGGUCCCAAAGUCAUGGUUAAGUGGGAAACGAUGUGGGAAGGCACAGACAGCCAGGAUGUUGGCUUAGAAGCAGCCAUCAUUUAAAGAAAGCGUAAUAGCUCACUGGUCGAGUCGGCCUGCGCGGAAGAUGUAACGGGGCUAAACCAUGCACCGAAGCUGCGGCAGCGACACUAUGUGUUGUUGGGUAGGGGAGCGUUCUGUAAGCCUGCGAAGGUGUGCUGUGAGGCAUGCUGGAGGUAUCAGAAGUGCGAAUGCUGACAUAAGUAACGAUAAAGCGGGUGAAAAGCCCGCUCGCCGGAAGACCAAGGGUUCCUGUCCAACGUUAAUCGGGGCAGGGUGAGUCGACCCCUAAGGCGAGGCCGAAAGGCGUAGUCGAUGGGAAACAGGUUAAUAUUCCUGUACUUGGUGUUACUGCGAAGGGGGGACGGAGAAGGCUAUGUUAGCCGGGCGACGGUUGUCCCGGUUUAAGCAUGUAGGCUGGUUGUCCAGGCAAAUCCGGAUAAUCAAGGCUGAGGUGUGAUGACGAGGCACUACGGUGCUGAAGUAACAAAUGCCCUGCUUCCAGGAAAAGCCUCUAAGCAUCAGGUAACAUCAAAUCGUACCCCAAACCGACACAGGUGGUCAGGUAGAGAAUACCAAGGCGCUUGAGAGAACUCGGGUGAAGGAACUAGGCAAAAUGGUGCCGUAACUUCGGGAGAAGGCACGCUGGUGUGUAGGUGAAGCCCUGCGGAUGGAGCUGAGACCAGUCGAAGAUACCAGCUGGCUGCAACUGUUUAUUAAAAACACAGCACUGUGCAAACACGAAAGUGGACGUAUACGGUGUGACGCCUGCCCGGUGCCGGAAGGUUAAUUGAUGGGGUUAUCCGUAAGGAGAAGCUCUUGAUCGAAGCCCCGGUAAACGGCGGCCGUAACUAUAACGGUCCUAAGGUAGCGAAAUUCCUUGUCGGGUAAGUUCCGACCUGCACGAAUGGCGUAAUGAUGGCCAGGCUGUCUCCACCCGAGACUCAGUGAAAUUGAACUCGCUGUGAAGAUGCAGUGUACCCGCGGCAAGACGGAAAGACCCCGUGAACCUUUACUAUAGCUUGACACUGAACAUUGAGCCUUGAUGUGUAGGAUAGGUGGGAGGCUUUGAAGCGUGGACGCCAGUCUGCGUGGAGCCAACCUUGAAAUACCACCCUUUAAUGUUUGAUGUUCUAACGUUGGCCCCUUACCGGGGUUGCGGACAGUGUCUGGUGGGUAGUUUGACUGGGGCGGUCUCCUCCCAAAGCGUAACGGAGGAGCACGAAGGUUAGCUAAUCCUGGUCGGACAUCAGGAGGUUAGUGCAAUGGCAUAAGCUAGCUUGACUGCGAGCGUGACGGCGCGAGCAGGUGCGAAAGCAGGUCAUAGUGAUCCGGUGGUUCUGAAUGGAAGGGCCAUCGCUCAACGGAUAAAAGGUACUCCGGGGAUAACAGGCUGAUACCGCCCAAGAGUUCAUAUCGACGGCGGUGUUUGGCACCUCGAUGUCGGCUCAUCACAUCCUGGGGCUGAAGUAGGUCCCAAGGGUAUGGCUGUUCGCCAUUUAAAGUGGUACGCGAGCUGGGUUUAGAACGUCGUGAGACAGUUCGGUCCCUAUCUGCCGUGGGCGCUGGAGAAUUGAGGGGGGCUGCUCCUAGUACGAGAGGACCGGAGUGGACGCAUCACUGGUGUUCGGGUUGUCAUGCCAAUGGCACUGCCCGGUAGCUAAAUGCGGAAGAGAUAAGUGCUGAAAGCAUCUAAGCACGAAACUUGCCCCGAGAUGAGUUCUCCCUGAGACUUUAAGUCUCCUGAAGGAACGUUGAAGACGACGACGUUGAUAGGCCGGGUGUGUAAGCGCAGCGAUGCGUUGAGCUAACCGGUACUAAUGAACCGUGAGGCUUAACCUUACAACGCCGAAG
This 2922-nucleotide ribosomal RNA is filed under the name Klebsiella pneumoniae. Its description in RNAcentral is "bacterial LSU rRNA". It matches the Rfam family "Bacterial large subunit ribosomal RNA". Lineage: Bacteria; Pseudomonadati; Pseudomonadota; Gammaproteobacteria; Enterobacterales; Enterobacteriaceae. The record is from RNAcentral.